CUUUAGGCUGCCCUCUGCUUAACCACCACAUGCCAGCUCUCACACAUUCUCCUUUAGCAGCAAGAGCCCUGGCAGCUUGGAUCGCCAACAACUUCCUUCCUACCUCCAUUCCAAGCUGCUCUCCUGCCCGGAUGGAAAGUCCCCCAAUUCUCCUUCUAUUCCGCGUCUACGCCAAUCACAUUCCAUGGAUAACUUCCCAGUCUCCUCUGGGUACAAAGUGCACAUCACCAUAAAUGAGCCAAUCAGGAGCUAUCAAUUGUGCAAGGAAGGUUACUGGAGGCAAAAUGAACCGCUGAGAUGUGAUUGGUACCAGGGUUGGGGAUACAGCUCAGAUGCAGAGUGUUUGAACAAGCACAAGGCCCUGGGUUUGAAAAGCAAGAGGCGACUGCCACCAGCCAGGGGAGGCCACACAUGCAGAUGGAAAGGGCUCCAUGUGGUUUAGGCACAAAGAGCCCCCGUGCUGUGAUUCUGAGUCAUCAAGAAGAGAAGUGUGAUUUAUAAUGCUCUCUUUAUUCUUCCACAAACUCAUUCAAAAUGUAGUCUUUUUAAAUGCAGGCUAUGAAAUAAAAAGUCAAUCCAUUGCUCCUGAAUCAAAGUUAAUAAAUAUUCAUUAAAUAGUUACAAAACCUCUUGUCAAUUUUGCUAAUUGCUAUAUUUGGCAUUCAUAAAAUAAGAACGACACAUGAAAUUG
This 691-nucleotide long non-coding RNA is filed under the name Fukomys damarensis (Damara mole-rat). Its description in RNAcentral is "lncRNA (ENSFDAG00000030575.1)". Lineage: Eukaryota; Metazoa; Chordata; Mammalia; Rodentia; Bathyergidae. The record is from RNAcentral.